Molecule: ribosomal RNA, 99 nt
Filed under: Acanthosepion pharaonis
Lineage: Eukaryota; Metazoa; Mollusca; Cephalopoda; Sepiida; Sepiidae
Source: RNAcentral
UGUAAACAGCGGUUCCUGUACGAUCACCGAAGUUAAGCAACGUCGAGCCUAGUCAGUACCUAGAUGGGGGUCACCGCUUGGGAAUACUAGGUGUUGUAA